Coregonus clupeaformis (lake whitefish) is the source of this 233-nucleotide long non-coding RNA. RefSeq lists it as uncharacterized. NCBI's taxonomy places the organism in Eukaryota, Metazoa, Chordata, Actinopteri, Salmoniformes, Salmonidae. The transcript has 2 exons. The record is from RefSeq and is a predicted model, not a curated record.
CUCAGUGUAGUCCAAUAUCCCAUAAAAAACAGUACGAAUUGAAGUUGGCCAUUUGUAUUCAAAGCAUUGGUGAACAAAUAUUAUGGACGUUAUUAGCAUAGAAACUCUUGAUAAGGUUUCUAUGCUCUGAUAUCUAAUCCUGGCAACACUACACUCAACUCCUAACCAUGUGGCAUUACUGUAGGUAUAGGUAACUACCUUCCAAUAAAUAGUGUUGGUACAGACAUUUUUAA